RNAcentral lists this ribosomal RNA (601 nucleotides) under Fusarium sp. NRRL 52711. Its description in RNAcentral is "eukaryotic LSU rRNA". It matches the Rfam family "Eukaryotic large subunit ribosomal RNA", at positions 1 to 600 of the family's 3401-position model. The record is from RNAcentral. RNAcentral also lists the same sequence under 1 other name. Lineage: Eukaryota; Fungi; Ascomycota; Sordariomycetes; Hypocreales; Nectriaceae.
AACUUCUGAAUGUUGACCUCGGAUCAGGUAGGAAUACCCGCUGAACUUAAGCAUAUCAAUAAGCGGAGGAAAAGAAACCAACAGGGAUUGCCCUAGUAACGGCGAGUGAAGCGGCAACAGCUCAAAUUUGAAAUCUGGCUCUCGGGCCCGAGUUGUAAUUUGUAGAGGAUGCUUUUGAUGCGGUGCCUUCCGAGUUCCCUGGAACGGGACGCCAUAGAGGGUGAGAGCCCCGUCUGGUUGGAUGCCAAAUCUCUGUAAAGCUCCUUCGACGAGUCGAGUAGUUUGGGAAUGCUGCUCUAAAUGGGAGGUAUAUGUCUUCUAAAGCUAAAUACCGGCCAGAGACCGAUAGCGCACAAGUAGAGUGAUCGAAAGAUGAAAAGCACUUUGAAAAGAGAGUUAAAAAGUACGUGAAAUUGUUGAAAGGGAAGCGUUUAUGACCAGACUUGGGCUUGGUUAAUCAUCUGGGGUUCUCCCCAGUGCACUUUUCCAGUCCAGGCCAGCAUCAGUUUUCGCCGGGGGAUAAAGGCUUCGGGAAUGUGGCUCUCUCCGGAGAGUGUUAUAGCCCGUUGCGUAAUACCCUGGCGGGGACUGAGGUUCGCGC